GGGAGUAUUGCGCAAUGGGCGGAAGCCUGACGCAGCGCCGCCGCGUGGGGGAUGAAGGCCUUCGGGUUGUAAACCCCUUUCACCAGGAGCGAAUCCAGACGGUACCUGGGGAAGAAGCGCCGGCUAACUACGUGCCAGCAGCCGCGGUAAUACGUAGGGCGCAAGCGUUGUCCGGAAUUAUUGGGCGUAAAGAGCUCGUAGGCGGCCUGUCGCGUCCGCUGUGAAAUCCUGGGGCUUAACCCCGGGCGUGCAGUGGAUACGGGCUGGCUAGAGGCAGGCAGGGGAGAACGGAAUUCCCGGUGUAGCGGUGAAAUGCGCAGAUAUCGGGAGGAACACCGGUGGCGAAGGCGGUUCUCUGGGCCUGUUCUGACGCUGAGGAGCGAAAGCGUGGGGAGCAAAC
This 400-nucleotide ribosomal RNA is filed under the name uncultured bacterium. Its description in RNAcentral is "bacterial SSU rRNA". It matches the Rfam family "Bacterial small subunit ribosomal RNA", at positions 357 to 773 of the family's 1533-position model. The record is from RNAcentral.